AGCGGCGGACGGGUGAGUAACGCGUGGGUAACCUGCCUCAUACAGGGGGAUAACAGUUGGAAACGGCUGCUAAUACCGCAUAAGCGCACAGUACCGCAUGGUACCGUGUGAAAAACUCCGGUGGUAUGAGAUGAACCCGCGUCUGAUUAGCUAGUUGGUGGGGUAACGGCCUACCAAGGCGACGAUCAGUAGCCGACCUGAGAGGGUGACCGGCCACAUUGGGACUGAGACACGGCCCAA
RNAcentral lists this ribosomal RNA (240 nucleotides) under uncultured bacterium. RNAcentral's name for it is "partial 16S ribosomal RNA". It matches the Rfam family "Bacterial small subunit ribosomal RNA", at positions 94 to 334 of the family's 1533-position model. The record is from RNAcentral.